UGUAUUCACGACUGUAAGUCGCUCUGGAUAAGAGCGUCUGCUAAAUGGCUAAAA
Molecule: non-coding RNA, 54 nt
Organism: Salmo salar (Atlantic salmon)
Lineage: Eukaryota; Metazoa; Chordata; Actinopteri; Salmoniformes; Salmonidae
Source: Rfam